Pelobates cultripes (western spadefoot toad) is the source of this 202-nucleotide non-coding RNA. The record is from the annotation of a GenBank genome assembly. Lineage: Eukaryota; Metazoa; Chordata; Amphibia; Anura; Pelobatidae.
CACGAAUUCCAUGAAGCACGGUAAGCUGAUCUCGUACCGGGAGCCCAGGCGUUAUCGAGGAGCAGGAGAGUUGAUCGCGGAACAUUUGGGACAGCCCAGGUUCCCCUGAAAGGAGCCACGCUACGAGAGGCAAUUGCUGUUGUAGCACCAGACCGUGAGAGUUCCCGUCCGGAUCCAGAAGGAGGUCCUGGAAGCACGGGAU